GUGAGGUAACGGCUCACCAAGGCUUCGACGGGUAGCUAGUCUGAGAGGACGAAUAGCCACACUGGAACUGAGACACGGUCCAGACUCCUACGGGAGGCAGCAGUGGGGAAUCUUGCACAAUGGGCGAAAGCCUGAUGCAGCGACGCCGCGUGGGGGAUGAAGGCCCUAGGGUCGUAAACCCCUUUCAGUAGGGACGAAAAUGACGGUACCUACAGAAGAAGCCCCGGCCAACUACGUGCCAGCAGCCGCGGUAAGACGUAGGGGGCGAGCGUUGUCCGGAUUUAUUGGGCGUAAAGGGCUCGUGGGUGGUUGCGUAAGUCGGAUGUGAAAACUCAGGGCUUAACCCUGAGACGCCAUCCGAUACUGCGCUGACUUGAGUCCGGUAGAGGAGUGUGGAAUUCCUGGUGUAGCGGUGAAAUGCGCAGAUAUCAGGAGGAACACCUACAGCGAAGGCAGCACUCUGGGCCGGUACUGACACUGAGGAGCGAAAGCGUGGGUAGCAAACAGGAUUAGAUACCCUGGUAGUCCACGCCGUAAACGGUGGGCACUAGGUGUGGGGACUUUCAACGGUCUCUGCGCCGAAGCUAACGCAUUAAGUG
This 599-nucleotide ribosomal RNA is filed under the name uncultured Actinomycetes bacterium. Its description in RNAcentral is "bacterial SSU rRNA". It matches the Rfam family "Bacterial small subunit ribosomal RNA", at positions 252 to 866 of the family's 1533-position model. Lineage: Bacteria; Bacillati; Actinomycetota; Actinomycetes. The record is from RNAcentral.